AUUGAACGCUGGCGGCAGGCCUGACACAUGCAAGUCGAACGGUAACAGGGAUCAGCUUGCUGAUUCGCUGACGAGUGGCGGACGGGUGAGUAAUGUCUGGGAAACUGCCUGAUGGAGGGGGAUAACUACUGGAAACGGUAGCUAAUACCGCAUAACGUCGCAAGACCAAAGAGGGGGACCUUCGGGCCUCUUGCCAUCGGAUGUGCCCAGAUGGGAUUAGCUAGUAGGUGGGGUAACGGCUCACCUAGGCGACGAUCCCUAGCUGGUCUGAGAGGAUGACCAGCCACACUGGAACUGAGACACGGUCCAGACUCCUACGGGAGGCAGCAGUGGGGAAUAUUGCACAAUGGGCGCAAGCCUGAUGCAGCCAUGCCGCGUGUAUGAAGAAGGCCUUCGGGUUGUAAAGUACUUUCAGCGGGGAGGAAGGGAGUAAAGUUAAUACCUUUGCUCAUUGACGUUACCCGCAGAAGAAGCACCGGCUAACUCCGUG
RNAcentral lists this ribosomal RNA (490 nucleotides) under uncultured bacterium. RNAcentral's name for it is "partial 16S ribosomal RNA". It matches the Rfam family "Bacterial small subunit ribosomal RNA", at positions 30 to 507 of the family's 1533-position model. The record is from RNAcentral.